AGUGAACGCUGGCUGUAGGCCUAACACAUGCAAGUCGAACGGCAGCACAGUAAGAGCUUGCUCUUACGGGUGGCGAGUGGCGGACGGGUGAGGAAUACAUCGGAAUCUACUUUUUCGUGGGGGAUAACGUAGGUAAACUUACGCUAAUACCGCAUACGACCUACGGGUGAAAGCAGGGGAUCUUCGGACCUUGCGCGAUUGAAUGAGCCGAUGUCGGAUUAGCUAGUUGGCGGGGUAAGGGCCCACCAAGGCGACGAUCCGUAGCUGGUCUGAGAGGAUGAUCAGCCACACUGGAACUGAGACACGGUCCAGACUCCUACGGGAGGCAGCAGUGGGGAAUAUUGGACAAAGGGCGCAAGCCUGAUCCAGCCAUACCGCGUGGGUGAAGAAGGCCUUCGGGUUGUAAAGCCCUUUUGUUGGGAAAGAAAAGCAGCAGGUUAAUACCCCGCUGUUCUGACGGUACCAAAAGAAUAAGCACCGGCUAACUUCGUG
This 492-nucleotide ribosomal RNA is filed under the name uncultured bacterium. RNAcentral describes it as "partial 16S ribosomal RNA". It matches the Rfam family "Bacterial small subunit ribosomal RNA", at positions 29 to 507 of the family's 1533-position model. The record is from RNAcentral.